RNAcentral lists this ribosomal RNA (497 nucleotides) under uncultured bacterium. Its description in RNAcentral is "partial 16S ribosomal RNA". It matches the Rfam family "Bacterial small subunit ribosomal RNA", at positions 28 to 507 of the family's 1533-position model. The record is from RNAcentral.
GAUGAACGCUGGCGGCGUGCCUAACACAUGCAAGUCGAGCGGACGGACGAGAAGCUUGCUUCUCUGAUGUUAGCGGCGGACGGGUGAGUAACACGUGGAUAACCUACCUAUAAGACUGGGAUAAUUUCGGGAAACCGGAGCUAAUAACGGAUAAUAUUUUGAACCGCAUGGUGCAAAAGUGAAAGACGGUUUUGCUGUAACUUAUAGAUGGAUCCGCGCUGCAUUAGCUAGUUGGUAAGGUAACGGCUUACCAAGGCAACGAUGCAUAGCCGACCGGAGAGGAUGAUCGGCCACACUGGAACUGAGACACGGUCCAGACUCCUACGGGAGGCAGCAGUAGGGAAUCUUCCGCAAUGGGCGAAAGCCUGACGCAGCAACGCCGCGUGAGUGAUGAAGGUCUUCGGAUCGUAAAACUCUGUUAUUAGGGAAGAACAUAUGUGUAAGUAACUGUGCACAUCUUGACGGUACCUAAUCAGAAAGCCCCGGCUAACUACGUG